RNAcentral lists this ribosomal RNA (253 nucleotides) under uncultured bacterium. Its description in RNAcentral is "partial 16S ribosomal RNA". It matches the Rfam family "Bacterial small subunit ribosomal RNA", at positions 524 to 776 of the family's 1533-position model. The record is from RNAcentral.
UACGGGGGGGGCAAGCGUUGCUCGGAAUUACUGGGCGUAAAGCGCGUGUAGGCGGCUAAGUAAGUCGGGCGUGAAAUCCCACGGCUCAACCGUGGAAGUGCACUCGAAACUGCAUAGCUAGAGUCCUGGAGAGGAAGGUGGAAUGCUUGGUGUAGAGGUGAAAUUCGUAGAUAUCAAGCGGAACACCGGUGGCGAAGGCGGCAUCCUGGACCGGCAUUGACGCUGAGGAGCGAAAGCCAGGGGAGCAAACGGG